GUGAAGAACGCAGCGAAAUGCGAUAAGUAGUGUGAAUUGCAGAAUUCAGUGAAUCAUCGAAUCUUUGAACGCACAUUGCGCCCGUUAGUAUUCUGAAGGGCAUGCCUGUCCGAGCGUCAUUUCAACCCUCAAGCACGGCUUGGUGUUGGCGGAUUGCGUGCCCUAGCGGCGCUGCACCCGCCCAAAUACAGUGGCGGUCCCGCUGCGGCUCCCUUUGCGUAGUAACUCACCUCGCACUGGACCGGGCGGCGGCUCGCCGUAAAACCCCAACUCACGAAAUGUUGACCUCGGAUCAGGUAGGAAUACCCGCUGAACUUAAGCAUAUCAAUAAGCGGAGGA
RNAcentral lists this unclassified non-coding RNA (339 nucleotides) under soil metagenome. RNAcentral's name for it is "partial contains 5.8S ribosomal RNA, internal transcribed spacer 2, and large subunit ribosomal RNA". The stretch from base 2 to 119 matches the Rfam family "5.8S ribosomal RNA", at positions 37 to 154 of the family's 154-position model. The record is from RNAcentral.